UUAAGUUACUAAGGGCGUACAGUGAAUGCCUUGGCACUAGAAGGCGAUGAAGGACGCGACUACCUGCGAUAAGCGAUGGGGAGCUGGAUGUAAGCAACGAACCGUCGAUCUCCGAAUGGGGAAACCCAGUAUGAGUAAUGUCAUAUUAUCCUUAAUAUUAAAAGUUUAAGGAAGCGAUACCUAGGGAAUUGAAACAUCUUAGUACCUAGAGGAAAAGAAAGAGAAUUCGAUUCCGUAAGUAGCGGCGAGCGAAAGCGGAACAGCCCAAACCUGUCUUUGGACGGGGGUUUUGGAGCGCAAUAUGUGAGUGUAAUAGUCCAGAUGAAUGGCAUUGAAAGGCCAACCAAAGACGGUGCAAGUCCUGUAAUUAAACGAUUAUUACCCGCUAGCGAUUUCCAGAGUACGGCGAGGCACGUGGAACCUUGUCGGAAGAUACGCAGACCACUGCGAAAGGCUAAAUACUAACUAGUGACCGAUAGUGAACCAGUACCGUGAGGGAAAGGUGAAAAGAACCCCGGGAGGGGAGUGAAAAGAAUCUGAAACUGUAUGCUUACAAGAAGUCAGAGGCCGUUAAAGGCUGAUGGCGUGCCUUUUGAAGAAUGAACCGGCGAGUUAUGGUUGUCGUGCAAGGUUAAGCUGACGAAGCGGAGCCGUAGUGAAAGCGAGCCUGAAUAGGGCGAAUUAGUACGAUGACAUAGACCCGAAACCCGUGCGAUCUAUUCAUGACCAAGUUGAAAGUGGGGUAAUACCCACCGGAGGACUGAACCGACGUUCGUUGAAACGCCCGCGGAUGAGUUGUGAAUCGUAGAGAAAUUCUAAUCGAGCCGGGUAAUAGCUGGUUCUCCCCGAAAUAGCUUUAGGGCUAGCGUCUAAUAUUGUUAGUGGAGGUAGAGCACUGAAUGCUUGAUGGCCGCGUCCAGCGGUACUGAAUGUAAUCAAACUCCGAAUGCCAUUAAUUUUAGUUAGGCAGUCAGACUGUGGGGGCUAAGCUCCAUGGUCGAAAGGGAAACAGCCCAGACCGUCAAUUAAGGUCCCUAAAUUUAUGCUAAGUGUAGAAGGAUGUGGAGACGCACAAACAGCUAGGAUGUUAGCUUAGAAGCAGCUACCAUUUAAAGAAAGCGUAACAGCUCACUAGUCGAGUAUCUCUGCGCCGAAGAUUUACCGGGGCUAAGCAUAAUACCGAAAUUACGGAUUAAUACUUAAAGUAUUAGUGGUAGGGGAGCGUUCCAUAUUGGUUGAAGCAAUACCGAAAGGAGUUGUGGACGAUAUGGAAGUGAGAAUGCCGGUGUGAGUAACGAAUGUAGGUGAGAAUCCUACACACCGAUUGACCAAGGUUUCCUGGGCAAGGUUCGUCCACCCAGGGUUAGUCGGGACCUAAGGCGAGGCCGAAAGGCGUAGCCGAUGGACGGCAGGUUGAUAUUCCUGCACCCGUAUAUGUGCGAUGUAGUGACAGGGAAGGCUAACUUAUUCCGGUUAUUGGAUUCCGGAUGGUGCGAGGUAGCUGUUUGAUAGGCAAAUCCGUCAAACACUAAGGCGAAGACGCAUCGGGAAUGAAUGGGGCAACCCUAGUAAUGAAGUAAGUGACGCCAUCUCUCAAGAAAAGCUGCUAGCUUAAGCAUAUAUGGCCCGUACCGAGAACGGACACACGUGGUCAAGGAGAGUAUCCUAAGGUGAGCGAGAUAACUGUUGUUAAGGAACUCGGCAAAAUAGCUUCGUAAGUUCGCAAGAAGAAGCGCUCGCGCGAGCGAGCCGCAGUGAAUAGGCCCAAGCAACUGUUUAACAAAAACACAGCUCUAUGCGAAGCCGUAAGGCGAUGUAUAUGGGGUGAUGCCUGCCCAGUGCUGGAAGGUUAAGAGGAGAGGUUAGCCGCAAGGCGAAGCUUUGAAUUGAAGCCCUAGUGAACGGCGGCCGUAACUAUAACGGUCCUAAGGUAGCGAAAUUCCUUGUCAG
This 1950-nucleotide ribosomal RNA is filed under the name biogas fermenter metagenome. RNAcentral describes it as "bacterial LSU rRNA". It matches the Rfam family "Bacterial large subunit ribosomal RNA", at positions 3 to 1975 of the family's 2925-position model. The record is from RNAcentral.